AUACGGAGGGUGCAAGCGUCAUUCGGAAUCACUGGGCGUAAAGGACACGUAGGCGGGAAGCCAAGUCUGAUGUGAAAUCCUACAGCUUAACUGUAGAACUGCAUUGGAAACUGGUUACCUAGAGUAUGGGAGGGGGAGAUGGAAUUAGUGGUGUAGGGGUAAAAUCCGUAGAUAUCACUAGGAAUACCUAAAGCGAAGGCGAUCUCCUGGAACAUUACUGACGCUAAGGUGUGAAAGCGUGGGGAGCAAACGGGAUUAGAAACCCCAGUAGUCC
RNAcentral lists this ribosomal RNA (274 nucleotides) under uncultured bacterium. RNAcentral's name for it is "partial 16S ribosomal RNA". It matches the Rfam family "Bacterial small subunit ribosomal RNA", at positions 523 to 796 of the family's 1533-position model. The record is from RNAcentral.